This 406-nucleotide ribosomal RNA is filed under the name uncultured bacterium. RNAcentral describes it as "partial 16S ribosomal RNA". It matches the Rfam family "Bacterial small subunit ribosomal RNA", at positions 30 to 526 of the family's 1533-position model. The record is from RNAcentral.
AUUGAACGCUGGCGGCAUGUUUUACACAUGCAAGUCGGACGAGUGGCGAACGGGUGAGUAAUACACUGGAACGUACCGAGUAAUGGGGGAUAACCAAUCGAAAGAUUGGCUAAUACCGCAUAUUAUUCGAGCGGACAAUAUCUGAUUAGCGAGUUGGUGGGGUAAAGGCCUACCAAGGCGACGAUCAGUAGCGGGUCUGAGAGGAUGAUCAGCCCCACUGCGUCGUAGACGCCGCCCGGAAUCCUCGGGGUGGCCACAUGUGGGAAUUGUGCACAAUGGUGGCAAGCCGCACCCAGCCAUUCCGCGUGUCUGAGGAAGGCCUUCGUACUGUGAAGGACCUCUGUUAGGCGAGCGGUACCUAAAGAAUAGUCCACGGGUAACUACGGGCCAGCAGCCGCGGUAAUAC